GCGGGAUCCCAGGAAGCGCUGCGGCCGCGGCUGGUGCUCUUCGGCGACUCCAUCACCGAGUGGUCCUUCCGCCCCGGCGGCUGGGGAGCCGCCCUCGCCGACACCUACUCCCGCAAGGCUGAUGUUGUUGUCAGAGGCUAUAGCGGGUACAACACAAGAUGGGCUCUGUUCUUGAUGCGGCGCGUCUUUUCCCUGGAUGGCUUACCGCCCGUCGCGACCACUGUAUUCUUCGGUGCUAAUGAUGCGGCGCUUCUAGGACGGUCAUGCGAGCGAAACCAUGUUCCAGUUGUGGAGUUUAAAGAGAACCUCAGAGCAAUUGUUAAUCAUCUCAAGGUUUGUUCCAAGUCCAUGGUGAUUUUACUUAUCACCCCACCUCCUGUUGAUAAAGACGGAAGAGAAAGAUUUGCACGAUCACUUUAUGGAUAUAAUCCAAGUUGGCUUCCAGAAAGGACAAAUGAAAUGGCUGGUGUCUAUGCAGGUAAAUGCAUAGAACUAGCCAAAGAAAUGGGUGUACACUGUGUUGACAUUUGGUCAAAAAUGCAAGCAGUUGAAGGUUGGCAGAAACUAUACUUGAGUGAUGGACUGCAUCUGACGCCGGAAGGAAACGCUCUGGUCCACAAGGAGGUCGUCGGAACCUUGAGAGGUGCUCGUCUGAGAGCUGAAGUUAUGCCGCUUGACUUCCCUCAUCAUUCCAAAAUUGAUGCAAUUCACCAGGAAAGGUCCUUCCAGUGA
This 732-nucleotide ribosomal RNA is filed under the name Triticum aestivum (bread wheat). RNAcentral's name for it is "partial small subunit ribosomal RNA". Lineage: Eukaryota; Viridiplantae; Streptophyta; Magnoliopsida; Poales; Poaceae. The record is from RNAcentral.